RNAcentral lists this ribosomal RNA (390 nucleotides) under uncultured bacterium. RNAcentral's name for it is "bacterial SSU rRNA". It matches the Rfam family "Bacterial small subunit ribosomal RNA", at positions 28 to 419 of the family's 1533-position model. The record is from RNAcentral.
GACGAACGCUGGCGGCGUGCUUAACACAUGCAAGUCGAGCGGUAAGGCCCUUUCGGGGGUACACGAGCGGCGAACGGGUGAGUAACACGUGGGUGACCUGCCCUUAGCUCUGGGAUAAGCCUGGGAAACCGGGUCUAAUACUGGAUAUGACUCCAUGACGCAUGUUGUGGGGUGGAAAGCCUUGUGCGGCUGAGGAUGGGCCCGCGGCCUAUCAGCUUGUUGGUGGGGUGAUGGCCUACCAAGGCGACGACGGGUAGCCGGCCUGAGAGGGCGACCGGCCACACUGGGACUGAGACACGGCCCAGACUCCUACGGGAGGCAGCAGUGGGGAAUCUUGCGCAAUGGGGCAAAGCCUGACGCAGCGACGCCGCGUGAGGGAUGACGGCCUGG